CGGUGAAGCCCAGCUUGCUGGGUGGAUCAGUGGCGAACGGGUGAGUAACACGUGAGCAACCUGCCCUCCACUUCGGGAUAAGCCUUGGAAACGGGGUCUAAUACCGGAUAUGAGCGCUCACCGCAUGGUGGGUGUUGGAAAGUUUUUCGGUGGGGGAUGGGCUCGCGGCCUAUCAGCUUGUUGGUGGGGUGAUGGCCUACCAAGGCGUCGACGGGUAGCCGGCCUGAGAGGGCGACCGGCCACACUGGGACUGAGACACGGCCCAGACUCCUACGGGAGGCAGCAGUGGGGAAUAUUGCACAAUGGGCGCAAGCCUGAUGCAGCGACGCCGCGUGAGGGAUGACGGCCUUCGGGUUGUAAACCUCUUUCAGCAGGGAAGAAGCGCAAGUGACGGUACCUGCAGAAGAAGCGCCGGCUAACUACGUGCCAGCAGCCGCGGUAAUACGUAGGGCGCAAGCGUUGUCCGGAAUUAUUGGGCGUAAAGAGCUCGUAGGCGGUCUGUCGCGUCUGGUGUGAAAACCCGAGGCUCAACCUCGGGCUUGCAUCGGGUACGGGCAGACUAGAGUGCGGUAGGGGAGACUGGAAUUCCUGGUGUAGCGGUGGAAUGCGCAGAUAUCAGGAGGAACACCGAUGGCGAAGGCAGGUCUCUGGGCCGCAACUGACGCUGAGGAGCGAAAGCAUGGGGAGCGAACAGGAUUAGAUACCCUGGUAGUCCAUGCCGUAAACGUUGGGCACUAGGUGUGGGGCUCAUUCCACGAGUUCCGUGCCGCAGCUAACGCAUUAAGUGCCCCGCCUGGGGAGUAC
This 804-nucleotide ribosomal RNA is filed under the name Krasilnikoviella sp. Its description in RNAcentral is "bacterial SSU rRNA". It matches the Rfam family "Bacterial small subunit ribosomal RNA", at positions 67 to 883 of the family's 1533-position model. Lineage: Bacteria; Bacillati; Actinomycetota; Actinomycetes; Micrococcales; Promicromonosporaceae. The record is from RNAcentral.